This 433-nucleotide unclassified non-coding RNA is filed under the name soil metagenome. Its description in RNAcentral is "partial contains 5.8S ribosomal RNA, internal transcribed spacer 2, and large subunit ribosomal RNA". The stretch from base 1 to 120 matches the Rfam family "5.8S ribosomal RNA", at positions 35 to 154 of the family's 154-position model. The record is from RNAcentral.
GAUGAAGAACACAGCGAAAUGCGAUACGUAAUGUGAAUUGCAGAAUUCAGUGAAUCAUCGAAUCUUUGAACGCAUAUUGCGCUCUCUGGUAUUCCGGAGAGCAUGCUUGUUUGAGUAUCAGUAAACACCUCAACUUCCAUAUCUUUUUUGAAAUGGGAGUUGGACUUGAGUGAUCCCAACGCUUUUCCUCACCGAAAAGUGGCGGGUUACUUGAAAUGCAGGUGCAGCUGGACUUUUCUCUGAGCUAUAAGCAUAUCUAUUUAGUCUGCCUAAAAAACAGAUUAUUACCUUUGCUGCAGCUAACAUAAAGGAGAUUAGUUCUUGUGCUGACUGAUGCAGGAUUCACAAAGACAGGCUUCGGCCGACUUUGUAAACUCGAUCUCAAAUCAAGUAAGACUACCCGCUGAACUUAAGCAUAUCAAUAAGCGGAGGA